GCACUGCUGAGGAGUCACACAAUAGGACGAAACAGUUGUCCAGUGC
This 46-nucleotide non-coding RNA is filed under the name Schistosoma margrebowiei. The record is from RNAcentral. Lineage: Eukaryota; Metazoa; Platyhelminthes; Trematoda; Strigeidida; Schistosomatidae.